This 496-nucleotide ribosomal RNA is filed under the name uncultured bacterium. RNAcentral's name for it is "partial 16S ribosomal RNA". It matches the Rfam family "Bacterial small subunit ribosomal RNA", at positions 30 to 523 of the family's 1533-position model. The record is from RNAcentral.
AUUGAACGCUGGCGGAAUGCUUUACACAUGCAAGUCGAUCGGUAGAGGGGGAAACCCCUCGAGAGUGGCGAACGGGUGAGUAAUAUAUCGGAACGUGCCCAGUCGAGGGGGAUAAUGUAGCGAUAUUCACGCUAAUACCGCAUACGCACUAUGGAUGAAAGCGCGGGACCGUAGGCCCUCGCGCGCAUGGAGCGGCCGACAUCAGAUUAGGUAGUUGGUUGGGUAAAGGCUCACCAAGCCAACGAUCUGUAGCUGGUCUGAGAGGACGACCAGCCACACUGGGACUGAGACACGGUCCAGACUCCUACGGGAGGCAGCAGUGGGGAAUUUUGGACAAUGGACGCAAGUCUGAUCCAGCCAUUCCGCGUGCAGGAUGGAGGCCCUCGGGUUGUAAACUGCUUUUGUACGGAACGAAAAGCUCUCUCCUAAUACGAGGGGCUCAUGACGGUACCGUAAGAAUAAGCACCGGCUAACUACGUGCCAGCAGCCGCCGUAA